RNAcentral lists this long non-coding RNA (1009 nucleotides) under Monodelphis domestica (gray short-tailed opossum). RNAcentral describes it as "lncRNA (ENSMODG00000043242.1)". The record is from RNAcentral. Lineage: Eukaryota; Metazoa; Chordata; Mammalia; Didelphimorphia; Didelphidae.
UAUCUUUACAAUAUUGCUGUUACUGUCCUAAAUUGUUCUCCUGAUUCUGCUCACUUCACUUUCUAUCGAUUCAUACAGGUCUUCCUAUAUUUUUCUGAAAUAAUCUAAAGGGGAUUCUCUAACUCUACAUCAGAUUGAAGUUUAGUACAGACUCAAUGAGCCUGCUAGCUGUAGGAAAUGAAAGAAAACUGGGACAAAAUACCUGUGGGCUCUAAUUAGCUGACUCCCUAUUUUGCAUUCCAAGAGGAACUUAAGACACAGGAAGCAAAGAAAGCUUGGAGAUCUGCUCUCAUGAAGAGCAAGUAGCUUAAGUUUCUCUUUCUCCUUGACUGAUGCUUAGGUGUGGCAAGCCCUAAAAGACCCAAAGCUCAAGAUCUAGUGCUAAGCUCAAGGAGAAUUGGAAAAACCUAUUCUUUUCAGGGAUUCUGAGGACUCCAAUUGAAGUCAAGAAAGAGGAAGAGACGUAAAGGUAGGGAACAGCAGAGAUGUGGCAAAAAACACGUAAGUGAAGACACAGCUGAGAGCCAAGUGUGGAGAACAGGCCAAGAAAAGACCAGAGAGAUGCUAUCACCAGAAGUCACUGAUGGCCUUGGAGCAUGGGACGUCUGAAUUGCCUUUCUAUGCAUAUACUUUGGCUAGAGAUGUUCCCUCCUCUGUGCCAGCAGACACAAUCCUACUCUUCUCACUGAAGGUUACCAGUGUCCUUAUGAUGGCCGAAUCAAUGAUUUUCAAUCCUCAUCCUCCUUGACAUCAGUGUAGCUGACUUUUCUCAAACUUUAAAACUCCAUCCAAAUGGAUAUACUUUCUUCCUUUUGCUUCAAAGACUCCCAUGAAGAAGAUGCUGAUCUUCUUCAACCACAACUUCAUUGACAACUCCAUCUUCCCUAGAACAGUUUCCAAUAUGUGAGUAUCCUUGAGGUUCUCUCCUUGGCCCUCUUCUCUCUCUCUAUUCUCUACUAUAUGUCCCUUAACCUUUAAAAACAAAAACGAAACAAAAAGAAACCUCUAC